This is a non-coding RNA of Equus caballus (horse), 3536 nucleotides long. Lineage: Eukaryota; Metazoa; Chordata; Mammalia; Perissodactyla; Equidae. The record is from RefSeq and is a predicted model, not a curated record.
UGGAGUGAUUGUAACCCUCUGGCCAUAGGCCUUCCUCUUGGGCCCUGGAAACGAACACAACAGCCCUCUCUUCUCCCAGGAGUGGGUGGGGGUGUCACUGACCACUGAGGGGUAACACUGAGGAGCAGGAGUGGAAGCAGGGGGCCAGCGAGGAGGCUUCCACAGUCAUUCAGGUAAGAGAUGAGGGAGGCCUGGCCUGAUCUGGUGGCUUGGAGGUAAAGAGAAGCAGACAGUUUGAAGAGAGAUUCUGCAAGUUAGGUAGACAGGCUUUACUUCUGGACUGGAUGUGGGGUGUGAAGGAAAGAGGAGAAUUAGAGACAAACAGCUGGAUGGGUGGUGAGUCCCUCUGCUCACUCAGGGACCUCUUUAUCAGUCCUGCAUCCCUGCAUUUCGGUGCGGAUCGGCCCACCCAUCUCCCUCUCUGCACUCGGUAAGGAGGCUCACAAAGAGACCAGGCUUCCCAUUGUCUCAGGCUUCCUCUCCCAUUUAGAGAGCUUAUUAAUUUCUGAAUCAAGAUGCCAAAUCAGCUCCUCAUCAAGGACAACACUGAUUUUUUCCCCUGACUUCAAAAUAAGUUUGCAGAUGAUGUGUUUGUGAAGCAAUCAACCUUGCACUUCCUCCCCUCCCAGCCCGUCAAGAGGGAGGUCAUCUGACUCCACACGGAACAAACAAACGGAAUGCGGAAUGCGGAGGAGCAAACAAAGGCGCUGCAGUCAAGAGGUCUGGCCGCAUGCUCCUCCUCGAGAGGCACCGGGAAUGCAACUCAACUCAACUCAGCAAGGUCCCACUCCAGGUUUAAUUGCUAUCAGCAGCAAAAGAGAAAAUUAGAAAUGAAAAGAUAAUGAACUGUGAAUAUUAGCUUGUUUGAUGGGUCUAAACUGGAAGGACGGGUAUGCACUGCAAUCAGAUAAAAAGAGAACCAAUCCCAAAAGGCAGUGGAGAGCUCUGUGCUUACUACCCUUGCUGCCUAUGACGGACGGUGGUGGGCAUCAGUGCAGUACCUUGAAGGCUCUGAGUACCGCCAGGGGGUCAUCGUUGGUGAGUCGGCGCACGAGUGAGGGCCAGGUCCGAUGAGCCAAGGGAAGGAGCUGGUUCUUGUGGGACUGUAGAACUACCACACACAGAUCCAGUACAUCCAAGACCUGAAAGAAAAGAAGACAUGGUUUCAGCAGAUAGUCAAGGCUGGAAACCAGAUACCUGGGAUUAAGUCACCAUUUUAAAAGGAUAAAAUCUGGAAACCUUAACUGAAUAAAUAUUUACUGACUACAUGCCAAGCACUUGCUAGGUACUGCAGGGGAGACACAGGAACAAAAUAGAUAUGUUUCCUUGCCUUCAUGGGGCUUACAGUCAACUGGAGAAAGACCUUAAUUAGGUAACACCCAAAUAAAGGGAUGAUUUACCAACUGUGACUCGUGCUAAGAAGGAAAGUAAAGAGUGAAGUGCAAAGAAACUAAAGGGAGGGAUCUAAACCAUACAGACCCUUGGGAGAGCUUCUCUGGGGAAGUAACUUCUAAAAGCAGACAUAAGGGAUGAGUAGGAGUUAGCCAUGUAACAAGUGAGUGUUCCCACAACUGGAAAGAGCAAUGAGGAAGACCCAGAGGGGGGAGAGCUUGCAGUGUGGAGCGUGACAGAGGAGGGGUAAGAUGGUGCUGGACCAUGAAGAAUUUUUUGUUUUCUACUAAGUGCAGUGGGGAACCAUCAAAAUGUUUUAAGCAGGAAAGUGUGACGUGAUACAAUUCAUGUUUUAAAAAGGUCAUUUCAGCCUGCUGAGUGGAGAAGGGACUGGAAACAGAAGAGAGAAGAAGUGAGGGGCCCUUUAGGAAGUCAUGGCACAUGUCCACAUGAGAGGAGGAAAGAGAUGUGGCCACGUGAUGGUGGCAGAGGAGUAAAAGGAUUUGAGAUCUGUAAGUCAAAGGAUUUGAGAGCUGUUUUGGACAUGAAAUGGCUUAAACUGCUGAAGGACUUGAUAUUAGGGAGAUGAAGAGAGGUAUCAAAAAGUGCUGCUUGGGUUCAGGCUUAGCAACUGAAUUGAUGCAGGUGCUAUUUAAUGAGACAGGAGCAAUGGAGGAGGAGUAAAUUGAGAGGCUGGAUGAGAUCAAGCUCUGUUACUUUGAAAUGGAGAGGUCAUGUAGGCAGCUGAGAUACAGGCCAAUCUUAGAAGAAACGUGUAGAGCAGCCUAGAUGUAAAGUGGAUUUUCUACCUUCCCUGAGAAUGCGUUUCGUAAUUUCUCGUAUCUCAAAGCUCUCUGAAAAGUAACAGCCUGCGUCAGUGUCACAGGCAGUGGUCACCACGAUGACCUCACAGAUGGGCCCACCUUCACUGAGGAGAUGAGCGUGCACAUCCGAAUCAGAAAGACAGUGGGAAGUCCGCUAACACCGAGCAGUAAAACCUUCUCGGAUGCCUACUACGUGCUGGUCACACUGAGACCGAACAGAAACAAAGAACACAAGAGGCCCUGCCCUCGAGGGGUGAAGAGUUGGGCAGGGGAGUAACAGGAAGCUCAGGAUGAAGAAGCUGAGGCUUAAAAAGCUGAAUUAACUGACUCAAGGUCACAGAGGCAGAGCCAGGAUUUGAACUUGGGUAUGUAAGUCUGACUCCAGUGUUGAUGCUUUCAGUCACUAUGGUGCGUAUACUGCUGCUACAGAGCCUCCAUAAAAUGGAAGACCCUCAGCACAUGCAUCAACCAGACACCUACAGUAAAGCCUUGCAUGCAGUGGGCACUCGGAAAGUGCUUGCUGAAUGGAACAACAGAUGACCGCUAAGAAGUUCCUCUGGGAAAACUAAUCAAAUUCCGCAAGACAGAGGCCCCGAGAUUUGAGAUAAUCUGUGGAUCAGGGUUUCCUAGCCCACCAUCCCCUAGCAGGGCACGGAGCUCCCAUGAGUAACAGUAAUUCACUGAGGCAGUUGUGUCUCUCACUCCCGCUUGGGAGUGGGGAGGACUGGGCCAGGCUGCCUUGUUCUCCUUCUGGUGUAAGAUCUUCUCCCAGGUGAUUCUGAAAGCCCUGUCCCCAAGCCCACCUGGCCCCACUGUCCUGUUAUUGGAGUCACUACUGUAAUAGUUUAAGUCCCUGCUGAUGGGGAUGCUACUUGGAAAUCUGCCAGCAAAGAAAGAUGCUUACAUCUUACUAAGAAAAGUCUUGGUGUUUUUCCUAGGAUGAACAUGGGAACAGAAACAGAGAUAAGGGCUAGCAUCAGGCUUGGAAGAAUGAUCACUUUAAAGUAUUUAAACCUGCAUCCCAGGUUAAGUCGGCUCAGAAAAUGAUAUCCUUUCCAAAGCAUAUGACUUUCUUUCCCUUGGAGAUUCAGUGAAUCUCCAAAACUUGGUGGUUUUUAAUUCCACAAAGAGGACUCAGCUCCCUUUUGGUAUCUGAGCUGAUAUGGAAAGAUGUAAGACUGUCAUCCCACAGAUAAAUUCCUCUUGAUGUCUUCUCUUGGCCACCACACAUGGACCAGGAGAUAAGAGCAGCUACUUGCUCAUGUGUGGAGUCACUGCCAACCAGACCAAACCUUGGCUCUGCUGCUCUGUGGAUGCAGG